RNAcentral lists this long non-coding RNA (278 nucleotides) under Malus domestica (apple). RNAcentral describes it as "long non-coding RNA (MDOM_LNC007177)". Lineage: Eukaryota; Viridiplantae; Streptophyta; Magnoliopsida; Rosales; Rosaceae. The record is from RNAcentral.
UGUUAAUUUCGUAGCUUCGUCUGCUGCCCCGUUUUCCGGCCCUGCGCUGGCCCUUCUUCAUGUGCCUGCCUCUGUAAGGGGACCAUGGUGGGUCUUUGUUGUCGAGCUGCAGGCAGAAGUUCUCGAGCUGCAGCAAUUGCAACCACUGCUUGUAAGCAAGGAGUUGUGAGGCCUGCUUGAAAAACAGAGUGAUUAUGUGCUCCUUCUCUGUAUAGGCUUGCUUUGCGGCUUUCUCUGCGUUCCUCGCUCGCGUUUGAGAGUGACACAAAGCUUCCAAU